Molecule: long non-coding RNA, 503 nt
Filed under: Hordeum vulgare
Lineage: Eukaryota; Viridiplantae; Streptophyta; Magnoliopsida; Poales; Poaceae
Description: long non-coding RNA (HVUL_LNC003344)
Source: RNAcentral
UUUCACGUGUGUGCGUUCUCUCUGUGUAUGCACGAGAGGUAGAGAGGUAGAAGAAACGUUCAGCCACAAUCCAUAUGGAAAAGAAAAUAGAGAAGGAAGAGAACAAAGAAAAAAACAGAUUGUCCUAAACCCAUUCGGUUUGUAAAAGAAAAAAUACAAGAAAACGAAGUGGGCUCCACACAAGGGAGAAAUGAUAUUCUGCUAGGGAAUUUCAACUCAUGAUGUGAGCGAAGGAAAAUAAUUAUAUUUACCUUUAGGGAAAUCUAGAAAACAAAUAAAAGGCUCAAAAUAAAAAUCAAAACGAACUUUCAAACAUUUCAAGAAAAUACCUUGUUAAUAAUUUAAUAUGCCCAAGACGAGAAAAAAAAGCAACUCGGCUAAAGUGAAGAACAAAACUCAAAACUUUUAAUUUAGGUUGUCAUUUAAUCAAAUUAAACUCGUGAAAUUACGAAAACUCAAUUUACGCUUAUAUGAACCAAAUAAAACAAACGAAAUUUUCUGGC